CAGUCGCCGCGGGAAUACGUAGGGUGCAAGCGUUAAUCGGAAUUACUGGGCGUAAAGCGUGCGCAGGCGGUUGUGUAAGUCAGAUGUGAAAUCCCCAGGCUCAACCUGGGAACUGCAUCUGAUACUGGCAAGCUUGAGUCUCGUAGAGGGGGGUAGAAUUCCAGGUGUAGCGGUGAAAUGCGUAGAGAUCUGGAGGAAUACCGGUGGCGAAGGCGGCCCCCUGGACGAAGACGGACGCUCAGGUGCGAAAGCGUGGGGAGCAAACAGGAUUAGAUACCCGCGUAGUCCCUGUCUCUUAUAC
Molecule: ribosomal RNA, 301 nt
Filed under: uncultured bacterium
Lineage: Bacteria
Description: partial 16S ribosomal RNA
Rfam family: Bacterial small subunit ribosomal RNA
Source: RNAcentral